RNAcentral lists this small nuclear RNA (148 nucleotides) under Dasypus novemcinctus (nine-banded armadillo). Its description in RNAcentral is "U2 spliceosomal RNA (ENSDNOG00000042048.1)". It matches the Rfam family "U2 spliceosomal RNA", at positions 37 to 185 of the family's 192-position model. From Rfam's summary of the family: U2 is a small nuclear RNA (snRNA) component of the spliceosome (involved in pre-mRNA splicing). Complementary binding between U2 snRNA (in an area lying towards the 5' end but 3' to hairpin I) and the branchpoint sequence (BPS) of the intron results the bulging out of an unpaired adenosine, on the BPS, which initiates a nucleophilic attack at the intronic 5' splice site, thus starting the first of two transesterification reactions that mediate splicing. The record is from RNAcentral. Lineage: Eukaryota; Metazoa; Chordata; Mammalia; Cingulata; Dasypodidae.
UAUCUGUUUUUAUCAGGUUAAUAUCUGAUAUACCCUCUAUCCAAGGACAAUAUAGUAAAUGGAUUUUUGAAGCUGGGAGUUGGAGUAGGAGCUUGCUCCAUCCAUUCCACCUAUCAACCUGGUAUUGCAGUGCUUCCAGAGACAGUGC